AUAUAUAUAUAUAUAUAUAUAUAUACACCCAUGUACAGAUUAAUUGAAAUUAAAGAGAAUCAUCUCUUUCUAAAUUUAUGAACUGUUUCAACUUUUCCUACCAUUUGGGUAAUGGAAAUAUUUCAGUUGUCAGUCUCCCUUAGUUUCAUUGGCUGCCAAAUUUUUUUACUUUCAUUUACUUUCAUUUCUCUGGUUGCAGAGGAGCUAGCCAAAUAUUGUGCCUCAUUUUUGUUGAUAGAAUUUUUAAAGAUGCAGUGACACCUAAAACACAGAAGGAAACACUGGAAUCAUUUCGAUCUGGAAAGGUAUACUGUCUUGUAUAUGAUGAAUUAUUUCAUAAGCUAUUGCAUUUGAAUACCUAAUAACCAAUGAAUAUACCCAUAUGUUCGGGUCAACCUAUUUUUUUGCCAAUGAUGCGUGAGGGAGGGAAUUCAUAUGCCAAACUGCUCAUGUAAUAUGCUUUGACUUGCCCAAGGUAGUCUGCUGUUAUUUCCAAUCUCAAGGACGCGCUAGACAAAAUGGUUCCCAAUAUAUCAUUAUGCUUGAGAGGGGACACGUGAACAAGGGGAUCAACUAUUUGAUUUCAUCAUUAGUGAAUGGCUAGUGAGUAGUGACAAAUACAACUAUAUUGAGAUCCUGAUGUAUAGGCUUUGCAAACAUGUACUCCUGAGGGAACCAAGGCAUAAAUUGUGAAUGCCACCGGAACAUCAGUUACUGCAGACGCUAGUGUUCGGCCUGAGAUUGAGAAUUAUGCUUAUCUUGUUGAUGCCCUUUGUGGUGCAGGGCAUGCGCAAGAGGCAGAGAAAGUGAUCUCAUCAAUGCCCUUUGAAGCUUCUGCUUCAAUGUAUCAGCCUUGGUACUUGGUAGGUGUUUGUUGUGUUCUUGGGGAUAUGGAUACUGGAAAAUGAUUGUCAACCCAACUAAUGGCCUUGGCGCCAUCUGACUCAAAUAUCUAUGCUGUAGCCAUCCAAUGGGACGUUAUAACUAAUGCUAGAAGAACAAUGCAGAGGAAGAAUGUAAAGAAGGAUCCAGACUUUAGUUGGAUGGACGUGAAGAAUAGAGUGCGUUUGUUUGCGGUGGAAGAUAGAUUCCAUUCUGAAGCUGAUUCAACAUAUGAUAAGGUGGUGGACAUGAUGGAAAGGAUCAAAGGUAAAAGAUAUGUUACAGACUUUGUGCUGCUCUAUCAAAGAGAAAUUGUGUUGAGAUAAGCAAAUGGCUUCCAUCGUUUCAAAGGGGGAAGUUGCUCCUGUGGUGAUUAUUGUUAAUAGUAAAAUUCACAUCUUAAUAAUUCUUUUAAAAUAAAUUUCCCCUUUAAUCUCACAA
Molecule: RNA transcript, 1323 nt
Organism: Hevea brasiliensis (rubber tree)
Lineage: Eukaryota; Viridiplantae; Streptophyta; Magnoliopsida; Malpighiales; Euphorbiaceae
Gene name: pentatricopeptide repeat-containing protein At4g33170-like
Exons: 3
Source: RefSeq, a predicted model, not a curated record